AUGGUUGAGAAUUCAUUUUCAAAAUCACAAGCAAAUCAAUAUUUUAUUUUUUUCUCCAUGUCUAUAUUAAUUCUGGCUCUUUCUGUUUGUCUCUUCUUGACGAAAAUUUUGGUCCAGAAUCUUUCUGAAUUUGAUGCCUAUAUAAAGAUAGUUGUCAUUACUUCACUUUCAAGAAUAAGACAUGUCAGAGAGCCAAAAAAACGCAAAGAAACCAAAGAGAGCUCAGAAACUUAA
Molecule: long non-coding RNA, 234 nt
Filed under: Prunus dulcis (almond)
Lineage: Eukaryota; Viridiplantae; Streptophyta; Magnoliopsida; Rosales; Rosaceae
Description: sRNA ncRNA
Source: RNAcentral